RNAcentral lists this ribosomal RNA (497 nucleotides) under uncultured bacterium. RNAcentral describes it as "partial 16S ribosomal RNA". It matches the Rfam family "Bacterial small subunit ribosomal RNA", at positions 28 to 507 of the family's 1533-position model. The record is from RNAcentral.
GAUGAACGCUGGCGGCGUGCCUAAUACAUGCAAGUCGAGCGAACAGAUGAGGAGCUUGCUCCUCUGACGUUAGCGGCGGACGGGUGAGUAAAACGUGGAUAACCUACCUAUAAGACUGGGAUAACUUCGGGAAACCGGAGCUAAUACCGGAUAAUAUAUUGAACCGCAUGGUUCAAUAGUGAAAGACGGUUUUGCUGUCACUUAUAGAUGGAUCCGCGCCGCAUUAGCUAGUUGGUAAGGUAACGGCUUACCAAGGCAACGAUGCGUAGCCGACCUGAGAGGGUGAUCGGCCACACUGGAACUGAGACACGGUCCAGACUCCUACGGGAGGCAGCAGUAGGGAAUCUUCCGCAAUGGGCGAAAGUCUGACGGAGCAACGCCGCGUGAGUGAUGAAGGUCUUCGGAUCGUAAAACUCUGUUAUUAGGGAAGAACAAAUGUGUAAGUAACUAUGCACGUCUUGACGGUACCUAAUCAGAAAGCCACGGCUAACUACGUG